AGAGUUUGAUCCUGGCUCAGGAUGAACGCUAGCUACAGGCUUAACACAUGCAAGUCGAGGGGCAGCAUGAAUCAAGCUUGCUUGAUUUGAUGGCGACCGGCGCACGGGUGCGUAACACGUAUCCAAUCUACCCAUGGCUCAGGGAUAGCCUUUCGAAAGAAAGAUUAAUACCUGAUGGUUUCAUGAGCCCGCAUGGACUUAUGAAUAAAGAUUUAUCGGCGAUGGAUGAGGAUGCGUCCGAUUAGAUAGUAGGCGGGGUAACGGCCCACCUAGUCGACGAUCGGUAGGGGCUCUGAGAGGAGGAUCCCCCACAUUGGAACUGAGCCAUGAUCAAACUC
RNAcentral lists this ribosomal RNA (338 nucleotides) under uncultured Bacteroidales bacterium. RNAcentral's name for it is "bacterial SSU rRNA". It matches the Rfam family "Bacterial small subunit ribosomal RNA", at positions 8 to 338 of the family's 1533-position model. Lineage: Bacteria; Pseudomonadati; Bacteroidota; Bacteroidia; Bacteroidales. The record is from RNAcentral.